This is a small nucleolar RNA of Saimiri boliviensis boliviensis (Bolivian squirrel monkey), 104 nucleotides long. RefSeq annotates it as small nucleolar RNA U13. NCBI's taxonomy places the organism in Eukaryota, Metazoa, Chordata, Mammalia, Primates, Cebidae. The record is from RefSeq and is a predicted model, not a curated record.
AUCCUUUUGUAGUUCAUGAGCAUGAUGACUGGGUGUUCACACACUUGUGUGAGAUGUGCCACCCUUUAACCUUGCUACAACGUCAGCAUAUUACUCAUUAGAAC